CUUUGUUUCACGUGGUCUGACUGUUUUCAAAACACUGUUGUGGGUUAGCAAGCAGAGGAAGCAUUGCCACAUGACCACUUUGAACAAGGCCCGUCUAACAGUGCAUUAACAUAAACUUGCCCUUUGCUUCUUGAGUUUAAUCAUUGCUCCUGGCAAAGAUACAAAACUCUUGUUUUUCUUAGAAGUUGUUCCUUCCCAGGCUGUGAAAGAGUGCAGCAAUUUUCCUGCUGGUCCCCUUUCAAGGGAAAAGCUAGAUGAACACAUGGCUCAGCUCAGCUGCUCUGGAGCUUCAGGACAGAAGCAUUCUGUGGAAACUUGAACUUAAUCACUAGGAAGCAAGUGGACUGCGUUAGAAUGAAGCUGUAAACUCAUCUUUGAAGAUUAAUACCUUCAUCUUUUGCAAAAACAUGACUCAGACUCCCUGCUGUAUCUGAACCCUACCCUGAAACCUCCAACAGAGACAGAACUUCAAAGCUAUUCAUUAGUUGCUGAUUCUGCCUUUCAGGGGAGCUGCACUGAGCAGACUCAACGUGUCAGAAGAAAGUUAACAGCAGCUGCCAGGGUGAGCCUAGUGAGGGGAUACAUGUCCUUGAGUUGCGCAUUUCCUCCCACCAACUUGAAGAGGUACAUGGGCUGAAUGGUCCAGGGAAGCCUGAUCCUGACCCAGAGAUCUCCGGUACUAGCAGCAAGCUUGGUGAAUUCCAUACCCUGACCUUCAUACACGAAACAAGAAUGAUAGCUCAAACCUGAGCUAUGGAUGGAAGGCUCAGCAGAAUGAGGGAGGCUUCCCACAGGUGGAGGUUACAUUCAACUCAGUCUUCCCUCCAAAAGAAAUCUGUAAUCUUAGCUUGCCUUUCCCAUUAGGA
Molecule: long non-coding RNA, 866 nt
Organism: Dipodomys spectabilis (banner-tailed kangaroo rat)
Lineage: Eukaryota; Metazoa; Chordata; Mammalia; Rodentia; Heteromyidae
Exons: 3
Source: RefSeq, a predicted model, not a curated record